Molecule: long non-coding RNA, 1753 nt
Organism: Cyprinus carpio (common carp)
Lineage: Eukaryota; Metazoa; Chordata; Actinopteri; Cypriniformes; Cyprinidae
Source: Ensembl
AUGGCGUGUAAAAGAAACCUGAGUUUUACUACUCCCGUGAGUAAUAGGGCUUUGCAACCAGCAGCAAGCCCACUGAGCAUAAAUGAUUUAACGAAACAGCUGAUCUCCGGUCAGAACGCUUUGUCUCGUCAGCUUGAGGGUUUGAUGGAGAAGCAAGCUGCAAACACUGUUCUUCUCGAAGAUGCUAUCCAGCGUCUUUGUGCUCUUGAGCGAAAGUUUGACGAGCAAAGACCGCAAGAGGAACAAAGACCGCGGGAAGAGCCAUUACAUAAAAGGAUAAAGAGGGCGCACAACGUGGGCAUUGCGAAUAAGUUCGCCUCGUAACCAAGCAGUCAUGACUUAUCUGCUAGAGGAAUUGAAAACAACUUUUGCAGAUGCAGACCCUGAGUGUAUACAAGGUAAUUUUAAAAUGUUUGUUUAACAAUUUUAAUGUCCAUAAUUUUAGUCUCUUAUAUUUUGUCCAUCUUAUGAUUUCAAUAGUGUAGUUUCUGUCACUUAUCUGAAUUUUCUUUUAUUCAGCGUGUUGCAAGACAUACUUUGAAACACUUCGGAGAAAGUACAAUUUGUCUCAGCCAGAAAAGUCCCAGCUAAGAGAUGCCAUUAAAACAGGAGCUAAAAACCGACAAAGGAAAAGACGGGUAAGUGUAGAAAUUCAUCAACUUGUCUUUAAAGGGAUAGUUCACCCCAAAUUGAAAAUUCUGUUAUUUUCUUCUGAUAACCACAAAAGAAAAUAUUUUUAGGAAUGUUUGAAAUCAAACUGAUCAUGAGCUCCAAUCACUUCCAUAGUAUUUUUUUUCUACUUUAAAGUCAAUGGGGCUCAUGAUUGGUUGGAUUAUAAACAUUCCAUCUUUUGUGGUUAUCAGAACAAAGACAUUUACAGGUUUGUAACAACAUGAGAGUGAGUACAUUGACAGAAUUUUCAUUUUUGAGUGAACUAUUCCUUUAAGUUUGAUACAUUUCUGGGUGUUUUUAGUGGUUAACACAUUGUGUGUUUUGCAGUUGCUGGAUUCCAGGUCCAAGGUUGUUCAAACCGAUGCAGAGAGAGAGCUUUGGCAGACUGCAACAGUGGAGCUGAUGUCUGACGAGGAGGAUGCCAUUGUUGAUGGAAGGCCAGUGUGGAUUGUGAGGUCUCCAUCUCACAGGAACCCACAAUUGUCAGAACUUUGUGAGGAGCUUCAGCGCAGAUUGGAGGCAGACAUGCGCUACACUAUUUUGCAUCAUCAGCGUGUUAAGGCUGAUGGAAAUGGACAUGAUGGACCUUCCUUUCUUCAACUUUAACUAAACUGCACUGGUUUUGCAAUUUUAAUAAUUGCACCACAAACUGCACAUUUUCACUUAUUCUCUUCUAUUUUAUCUUAUUCUUUGUAUACUUAUUAGGUUAGAUUUAUUUAGUUUCAUAUUCUGCAACUUAUUUUCUUUUAAUAUUGUUUGUGUUUGCUGUGUUUGGUUACAUUUUAAAUACUUUGUGCUGUGUGUACAUAUUAAGUAGUUUAUUUAGUUUUAUAUUCUGUAACUGUUAUAAUAUUGCUUGUGUUUAGUAAAAUUUUAUAAAAGUACUUUGCUUUGUGUACAUAUUAUUUCGUUUUAUAUUUUGUAACUGUUAUAAUAUUGCUUGUGUUUGGUUAAAUUUUAUAAAAGUACUUUUUCCCCUGUACAGUUCCUAUAGUUUUAUUUAUAUAUUUAAUGCUUUAUUUAUAUAUUUAAUGCUUUAAGUGUUUUGGUUUAAUUUUAAUAAAAAGAAAUUCUGAAUCCA